CCUACGGGAGGCUGCAGUGGGGAAUAUUGGACAAUGGGGGGAACCCUGAUCCAGCCAUGCCGCGUGUGUGAAGAAGGCCCUCGGGUUGUAAAGCACUUUCAGUGAGGAAGAACGCCUGGUGGUUAAUACCCAUCAGGAAAGACAUCACUCACAGAAGAAGCACCGGCUAACUCCGUGCCAGCAGCCGCGGUAAUACGGAGGGUGCGAGCGUUAAUCGGAAUUACUGGGCGUAAAGCGCGCGUAGGUGGCUUGAUAAGCCGGUUGUGAAAGCCCCGGGCUCAACCUGGGAACGGCAUCCGGAACUGUCAAGCUAGAGUGCAGGAGAGGAAGGUAGAAUUCCCGGUGUAGCGGUGAAAUGCGUAGAGAUCGGGAGGAAUACCAGUGGCGAAGGGGGCCUUCUGGACUGACACUGACACUGAGGUGCGAAAGCGUGGGUAGCAAACAGGAUUAGAUACCCCGGUAGUC
Molecule: ribosomal RNA, 465 nt
Filed under: Vreelandella stevensii
Lineage: Bacteria; Pseudomonadati; Pseudomonadota; Gammaproteobacteria; Oceanospirillales; Halomonadaceae
Description: partial 16S ribosomal RNA
Rfam family: Bacterial small subunit ribosomal RNA
Source: RNAcentral